CCGCCCGUCACAUCACGAAAGUGGGGUUGUACGUUAGAAAGUCUGCACGCUAACCCGCAAGGGAAGCAGCGGCCCAAGGUAUGACUCAUGAUUGGGGUG
Molecule: ribosomal RNA, 99 nt
Filed under: uncultured bacterium
Lineage: Bacteria
Description: partial 16S ribosomal RNA
Source: RNAcentral